Molecule: ribosomal RNA, 156 nt
Filed under: Psychrobacillus vulpis
Lineage: Bacteria; Bacillati; Bacillota; Bacilli; Caryophanales; Bacillaceae
Description: Psychrobacillus sp. Z8 partial 16S ribosomal RNA
Rfam family: Bacterial small subunit ribosomal RNA
Source: RNAcentral
GUCGAGCGAAUGAUGAAGAAGCUUGCUUCUUCUGAUUUAGCGGCGGACGGGUGAGUAACACGUGGGCAACCUGCCCUGUAGAUUGGGAUAACUCCGGGAAACCGGGGCUAAUACCGAAUAAUCCAUUUCCUCACAUGUGGAAAUGUUAAAAGACGG